AAGUCGUAACAAGGUUUCCGUAGGUGAACCUGCGGAAGGAUCAUUCACAAUAAGUGUUCAAUGGCACUUUAAAAUCCAUUACCCACCUUGUGUGUAAUGUAAGGAGGAGGGGUUGUCACAACCCCUCUUUCAUUAUACAUACCAAUCUUCUCUUGUUGUCUAACUUUUUGAGUAUAAAAAACUCGAAUACAACUUUCAACAACGGAUCUCUUGGCUCUC
Molecule: unclassified non-coding RNA, 219 nt
Filed under: fungal sp.
Lineage: Eukaryota; Fungi
Description: partial internal transcribed spacer region
Rfam family: Eukaryotic small subunit ribosomal RNA (bases 1-46)
Source: RNAcentral